Molecule: ribosomal RNA, 786 nt
Filed under: uncultured Nitrososphaerota archaeon
Lineage: Archaea; Thermoproteati; Nitrososphaerota
Description: bacterial SSU rRNA
Rfam family: Archaeal small subunit ribosomal RNA
Source: RNAcentral
UUCCGGUUGAUCCUGCCGGACCUGACUGCUAUCGGAUUGAUACUAAGCCAUGCGAGUCUUUGUAGUAAUACAAGGCAUACGGCUCAGUAACACGUAGUCAACCUACCUUAUGGACGAGGAUAAUCUCGGGAAACUGAGAAUAAUACUCGAUAGACCAUCACUCCUGGAAUGGUUGGUGGUUGAAAUGAUUCGUCGCCAUAGGAUGGGACUGCGGCCUAUCAGCUUGUUGGUGAGGUAAUGGCUCACCAAGGCGAUUACAGGUACGGGCUCUGAGAGGAGAAGCCUGGAGAUGGGUACUGAGACACGGACCCAGGCCCUAUGGGGCGCAGCAGGCGAGAAAACUUUGCAAUGUGCGAAAGCACGACAAGGUUAAUCCGAGUGAUUUCUGCUAAAGGAAUCCUUUGCUAGUUCUAAAAAUACUAGUGAAUAAGGGGUGGGCAAGUUCUGGUGUCAGCCGCCGCGGUAAAACCAGCACCUCAAGUGGUCAGGAGGAUUAUUGGGCCUAAAGCAUCCGUAGCCUGCUCUUCAAGUUUUCGGUUAAAUCUAUACGCUUAACGUAUAGGCUGCCAAAAAUACUGUAGAGCUAGGGAGUGGGAGAGGUAGACGGUACUCGGUAGGAAGGGGUAAAAUCUUUUGAUCUAUUGAUGACCACCUGUGGCGAAAGGCGGUCUACCAGAACAUGUUCGACGGUGAGGGAUGAAAGCUGGGGGAGCAAACCGGAUUAGAUACCCGGGUAGUCCCAGCUGUAAACGAUGCAGACUCGAUGAUGUAUAGCAUAUAGCUAGU